Molecule: ribosomal RNA, 253 nt
Filed under: uncultured bacterium
Lineage: Bacteria
Description: partial 16S ribosomal RNA
Rfam family: Bacterial small subunit ribosomal RNA
Source: RNAcentral
UACGAAGGGGGCUAGCGUUGCUCGGAAUUACUGGGCGUAAAGCGCACGUAGGCGGCUCUUUAAGUCGGGGGUGAAAUCCUGGAGCUCAACUCCAGAACUGCCUUCGAUACCGAAGAGCUCGAGUCCGGGAGAGGUGAGUGGAACUGCGAGUGUAGAGGUGAAAUUCGUAGAUAUUCGCAAGAACACCAGUGGCGAAGGCGGCUCACUGGCCCGGUACUGACGCUGAGGUGCGAAAGCGUGGGGAGCAAACAGG